This is a long non-coding RNA of Carassius auratus (goldfish), 1409 nucleotides long. RefSeq lists it as uncharacterized. The record is from RefSeq and is a predicted model, not a curated record. NCBI's taxonomy places the organism in Eukaryota, Metazoa, Chordata, Actinopteri, Cypriniformes, Cyprinidae. The transcript is spliced from 6 exons.
CGGAAACUCGCAGGUGAAUGUGUGUACACACAGAUGACGAACCACACACAAGCGCUCUGCCAAACUCCCAAUAUCUCCAAACGAGAGCGGACAGCGGAAUUUAAAUCGGAUUUCUAUAUCAUAUCAAAAGCAUGUCCGCUUUUGUGGCCCAUCCCUCGGUUCGUGUCAGAGGAAAAGAACACACAUACACACCUGUGCUGUGUCAGGAUGAGAAGUAUUUAGGGCAGGAAAAAGGAGUGCACAUGUACUGCCCGCUCUGUUCUGUGGCUGAGGCUUACCAAGAGCCCGUCAUCCUGCUCAUCAAACAUGUGGACAAAGGCAUUCACUUUGCAGGCUUGAAGGUGCUUGCGUUGCUGUAUCCACUGUGAGAUUGUGAGCACCAUUAAAGGAGAAAAACGGGUUAAAAGUGCACACUGGCACUGUUACCGCUGUAGAAAUGGUUUCAACAGGAGGGACGGGGCCAUCAAACACUAUAAAACUUCCGAAAUCCCCACACCACAUUCUAGAUCCAAGUCACACAGAAUCUGAACUGCCGACAGUAUUAUGGUGAGAGCUCAGAGGCUUAUGUUAAAGCCUAUGAAGGGCUGGCGGUUAGUCUUGGACCAGGUGGAGAUGGCACUAGCUUUGGAUCCAUCUUAACUCAGCCCAUCCUGACACUGAAACUCUAUUUACUGUGGAGCCAAAGAAGAUGGUGAGAGAAAUGGAAUCCCAUUGGGAGCUGAGUUAGAGGUGGGGUCUUCCCAGAAUUCACCUGACGGGACUCAGACUCUUGUUCUUAUGGACCCUGAUGGACAGGGAAACAGUGUGAUCUAUGACACAGCUACAGGUAUCCUCACUGAACAGUUGGAAAACCUUCCUUAGUUGGAAGCUCAGCAAAAGGAGUUCCUGCAGGCCCAGCUGUCCUCACUCAGGAGGGAGAGACGGUCAGGGGCAGAUAACAUCUCUAUCAAUGGCCACAAGGGGGCUCUGGAGCUCAAUGUAGAUUCAGAGGAGUCACAAACUGAAGCCAUCAGUGGCACUUUAACAGUACUGGAGGAUAUGGAUGUGCAACUACAAACUGAGUAACAUAAAUCCACAGAGCUUGAGUUAGUAGCAGCCGAGGCAAUUCCCUGUUUGGAGAGCCCCGGCUUGGACUUAGAUUUGCCAGAUACUGGCUUGACUUCAUCUAAGGUUUUAGAGGAUAAACGGGAAGUGUCAUUGUCCCUUGUGUCAUCUAAGAAGCUCAGCUCAGCGGAAGACUCAGAAGAGAUGACUGAAAGCAAAGUACAGAGAUUUAGCUGAAAAUGACUUGACAUUAAAAACACACUGGUCUCCAUUCUUCAUUCUUAACAAAUUGCUGUUACAAUUCCCAAACAUAAUACAUAAAUCUUUAAUUUGGCAAAAUAUACAUUAAAAAAUUCCAUGUUCAA